UACGUAGGGUGCAAGCGUUAAUCGGAAUUACUGGGCGUAAAGCGUGCGCAGGCGGCUUUGCAAGACAGAUGUGAAAUCCCCGGGCUCAACCUGGGAACUGCAUUUGUGACUGCAUGGCUAGAGUACGGUAGAGGGGGAUGGAAUUCCGCGUGUAGCAGUGAAAUGCGUAGAGAUGCGGCGGAACACCGAUGGCGAAGGCAGCCCCCUGGGCUGAGAUUGACGCUCAGGCACGAAAGCGUGGGGAGCAAACAGG
This 253-nucleotide ribosomal RNA is filed under the name uncultured bacterium. Its description in RNAcentral is "partial 16S ribosomal RNA". It matches the Rfam family "Bacterial small subunit ribosomal RNA", at positions 524 to 776 of the family's 1533-position model. The record is from RNAcentral.